This 72-nucleotide transfer RNA is filed under the name Thermosporothrix hazakensis. It matches the Rfam family "tRNA". From Rfam's summary of the family: Transfer RNA (tRNA) molecules are approximately 80 nucleotides in length. Their secondary structure includes four short double-helical elements and three loops (D, anti-codon, and T loops). The record is from Rfam by way of RNAcentral. Lineage: Bacteria; Bacillati; Chloroflexota; Ktedonobacteria; Ktedonobacterales; Thermosporotrichaceae.
GAGACAGUAGUUUAACGGUGAGAACUUCAGAUUGUGGCUCUGAAGAUAGCGGUUCGAUUCCGCUCUGUCUCC